GGUGCUCAGUGGUAGAGCGUGCGCCUAGCACAGGUGAGGCCCUGGGUUCAAUCCCCAGCACCA
This 63-nucleotide transfer RNA is filed under the name Marmota monax (woodchuck). RNAcentral describes it as "tRNA.Ala". Lineage: Eukaryota; Metazoa; Chordata; Mammalia; Rodentia; Sciuridae. The record is from RNAcentral.